ACGGCUGCCGUAGGCCCUGAAAGGAAGUGGCGGGCUCGCUACAACUCCGAGCGUAGUAAUUCAUUAUCUCGCUAGGGAGGUUGCGGCGUGCUCCUGCCGUUAAAGACCCAUCUUUAACCAAGGUUGACCUCGGAUCAGGUAGGAAUACCCGCUGAACUUAAGCAUAUCAAUAAGCGGAGGAAAAGAAACCAACAGGGAUUGCCCUAGUAACGGCGAGUGAAGCGGCAACAGCUCAAAUUUGAAAUCUGGCUUCGGCCCGAGUUGUAAUUUGUAGAGGAUGCUUUUGGUGAGGUGCCUUCUGAGUUCCCUGGAACGGGACGCCAGAGAGGGUGAGAGCCCCGUAUAGUCGGCCACCGAUCCUUUGUAAAGCUCCUUCGACGAGUCGAGUAGUUUGGGAAUGCUGCUCAAAAUGGGAGGUAUAUCUCUUCUAAAGCUAAAUAUAGGCCAGAGACCGAUAGCGCACAAGUAGAGUGAUCGAAAGAUGAAAAGCACUUUGAAAAGAGGGUUAAAUAGCACGUGAAAUUGUUGAAAGGGAAGCGCUUGUGACCAGACUUGUGCCGGGCUGAUCAUCCAGUGUUCUCACUGGUGCACUCGACCCGGCUCAGGCCAGCGUCGGUUUUCGUGGGGGGAUAAAAGCUUCGGGAACGUGGCACCUUCGGGUGUGUUAUAGCCCGUUGCUUAAUACCUCCGUGGAGACCGA
This 700-nucleotide ribosomal RNA is filed under the name Sordariomycetes sp. genotype 32. RNAcentral's name for it is "eukaryotic LSU rRNA". The stretch from base 125 to 700 matches the Rfam family "Eukaryotic large subunit ribosomal RNA", at positions 1 to 589 of the family's 3401-position model. The record is from RNAcentral. Lineage: Eukaryota; Fungi; Ascomycota; Sordariomycetes.